Long non-coding RNA from Passer domesticus (house sparrow), 4080 nucleotides. RefSeq lists it as uncharacterized. Lineage: Eukaryota; Metazoa; Chordata; Aves; Passeriformes; Passeridae. The transcript is spliced from 2 exons. The record is from RefSeq and is a predicted model, not a curated record.
CGCCCUAGGCUGGAUUGUGAAUUCAUGCAUAGAACCAGACCUGCUCUACACCUAAUGCCAAAAAAAUCCUGCAAAGUUUUCCUCUGCUACAAAGCAACACAAAAAGCCCUCCUAGUCCAUCACCUGUUGCUCAAGGCAUGUAAGAGUAGAAACACACUUAGCCCCUAGAGCCCACACUGAGAAGCUGAGCACUGAGAAGGGACCAGGAUGUGAGGAGCCGCAGUAGUGGUCUUUGACCACUAUUUCUGCUGAGCAAAAACCAGAAAGCUUAUUCCUUUGUUCUAGAAAUCAGAAAACAAGGAGAAGCACUGCUUUAAUUACAUUUAGAGGUUUUUCCUAGGUACAGAGACAUGGCCAUGGAUCUUUCUGUAUAUAUAUAUUUUAUUUAUAUAUACACAUAUAUAUAUAUAUCUAUAUAUAUGUAUGUGUAUUAUAUUAUUGAAUACUAUAUAUUCAAAACAUUUUACAUCAUAGCCAUGGGAAAUGGCAUUCCCACAGCAGGGAAAUGCCAUGACAGAAAAUGCAAGGAGGAUCGUUCUGUAUGACUCACUCUAGCAGGGAGGCCUUGGGACCAAAGCACCACCACCAUUUUUUCCCCCAUUUUUCUCCUUCCACAGUAUUAGUCAGGAGGCGGGGCUGAGAUGGGGGGCACGGAAGUGACAGCUUUGACACACAGCUGAAACCAUCAGGGCCAGUGUGGCAUGUGGGACUGUUUUUCCACUGCAGCAGAACCAGGCAAGCCAGAGUGGUGACACUGAUCCCAAGUGAGUCCAGCCAAGCCAAGUGGAGCCCAGCAGGGUGGUAGGAAGAGGCAGCAAAGCGGCAGAUCUCAUUCCCACACACAUGCCCAGCAUGGCAGACUGAUGGCAGUGGCAGUGCCAAACAGAGCUCUGCAGGGACAGAGAGACACCCAUCACCAUCGCCACUGCCACCAUCCCUGCUGCAGAGAGGGAGCAGGAGACUGCCACUGCAGGAGAGAGAGGAGAGGCUUUACAAGGACUACCUCAAGAAGAGGACAUAGAAUGGAGGGAAGGCCUUAGAAAGAAUAAACAACCCUCAUGCUGCUGCUUUUGCAAGGAAUAAAUAUCCAAGUUUCUUAAUAUCCAGCCACAAAUCUGUGGAGUCUUGACAGCCAAGAAGCACAGGAACCUGGACACCUUCUUGUGAGAGACUAGAGGAGAUUGCUGGCUCAACACUUUUCACGGGCUUGUAUGUGGGGAAGGGGCAGAUCAAGCCUUGCUCUGGUGAGGCCAUGCCCCACUCAGCACGCCCCACACCCCCAGGCCUGUAUCCCAGCCCAGCAGUGGCCACUGAUCCCUGGCACACCAGAGGCAAUGCUCCACACCUGUGUCUGGAGCCCCUAACCCAGCUCCUAAAUGGCCAGGUGAGUGGGAGCCCCAUGUGGGGGAAGGCCCCAGGAGAGCCAAAGGCUAUUUACCUUGGGAUAUGUGGCCACCACAUGUCUUGACCCUACCUCUUCUUGGAAUUUCUAUCAGCUGAACACCACUGGAACCUGGAGUGAUAGCUAUGUUGGUUCUUUUCUGUCAUUCUCUUUUUCUCUUUCUUCUCCCUUUUCCCUCCUCUCAGAUUUUUGAAAAUAACUUAAAAUGUAACAGGUUUAGUAAUCUAAAUGUAAAUUAACUUACAGAGAUUAUAAGUUGAAUGGGCUAAAUUAAUGCUUCAUAGAAUAUUUUAUGUUGAUUGAAUCCUGCUCUAAAUUAUUUUUGGCUUUAAAGUUCUCUUAUUUUCAAAUGUUGCCAGUGAAGGGUUUUGAUGUUGUUCCGAACUCUUGAGAACAUCUCGUCAGUAUUUCUCCUGCUUUUCUAACUUAGAGUACAUGAACAAGUUUAAAUCCUUUUAAAGUAUCUCAUAGAGCAAUGUUUUUGGAGGCUUGCAUUUUAAUUGGCACAGCAAGCAAGGUACUCUUGAGGUGAGAUGGGCCUUUUAUACAGCAUUAACUGUUCAUGACAUAAUAAAGGAGAAAUAAAUUGUCAGUCAAAGCUGCUCUUUUCUGGCAGAAAAGUAAUAGAAUCCCACGCAGAAACUGAUCUGAACUGCUCUCCACUGACACACUUGCUAAAAGCUUAUAUAGAAAGCUUGUCCAGCCCUAAAGAGAGAUGGGGAUGGAGAGAAACUAGCACCAUCCACAGUUACUUGUGGAGAAACAUGAAAUUUGGUAGAAGAAAAUUAAAAAUUCCCAGUAAAGGACCAUGCCUGGUAUGCAUAUGCAUGGAGGUUUGACUCAGAGCUGUAUGGUGCCCAUCAUCUGGAAAAGGAGCUGCAUCAGCUGCAAAUUGCUGAGCCUGAAACAAUAGCCAGCCUCAGGCCAGAGCAGGAAUUGAAUGCCAGGAUGAAGCCAGCCCCCAAACCAUGAGAAACCAGUGAAACACGCUCUUCCAAAGCCAAAGAGCUUUAGAGUUGCAAUUCAACACUGCUGGGGAAGGCCCGGAAGCAGUGUUUUCCGUAGUCCAGGAACAGCCAGGCCUUCCUGACUGUAAGGUCAGCCCCACAGCCCUUGGGAGGGCUUUAGUGCCUCAAAGUCCAACCCCGCCCCUCACCCUAAACUCUCCCCACCCCUAUAAAAUACAGAGGCAGGAUGCCCCGAAAAUGAUGUCACCUUCCUCUGCUCCCUGGAGGAGAGGUUCGGCUCUGCAAAGCCAAUCUUCUUCCCUCCUCAUCCCAAGCCCUGCUCACUGAUAAAGAAGGAAUUCACUUACCAGGAUGCAGUGUCUGCAGUGAUACCUCAUUCUGCAACAGAAGUGGUUGAACUACACGGGAAAAUAAGCAAUGAUCGCAAAGAAAGGGAAAUGGAGAAUGUUUUGCGAAUUUGGAUUUGGGGGAAUGAAAUAGAACUUUUGGAGAAGGAAGCACAUGGUGAAAAGCGCUGGUCUUUUGCUCAGGGAACAACUUGUGGUAUGAAAAGUUUGGACCCCUUGCAGAGGGGGGAACCCCAUACAAUGCAUGAGAAACAGCUAAUGCCUGUUGACCUUCUUCUGUGUUAUUGUAAGUUAUUUCAACAUUCAAGGAUCAAAACUGAGAAAACAAAAUCUUGGCACCACCUCCAAAAAGUUAUGGUUGUUGAUAGAAGGUGGUGGAUUGAAAUAUCCCUAGAGGCUCUCUGGAAAGAAAAUGGGGAUUAAAUGGGGACUCAGUUUCCCCGGAUUCUUAAUGAAGCUUUGCAAACUGCUCCUGCCCUGCCUCCUUCUGGCAGCCCUGGCUAUUGAGCCUUGUCUGCCACCAAAGGCUGGAAGCCGAAAUGCUGCUGCUAGAGCAUAACCCUUAGGAGAAAAUGCUUUUAUCAUCGUGCAAGUUUGUUGUUUUGGUCUCACUAACAAGCCUGAAUGUUCAAGAAUGUCCUCACUAGUCAGGAGACUGGGUGUGCAUCCAGACCCGGAAAGGAGAGCCACUUAACCAGAAGUGGAAAGGACUUUUGAUCCCAUGGCUGUGAGAUUUACAGCUGGACACUCCUAAAUUAUGUGAUUAAAGUUAGCUCUGGACACAUGGAAUUGUAUUGGACAGUCCAGUAAAUGUAACUCUGCUGCAGAUAAAGCUGCAAUGGAACAUUUCUAAAGUGAAAAACAUUAAAUGUUUUCUCUUUCUGCCCAUUUCCAGAGCAGUGUCCCUGGUAUGGCAGCAAGGCUGUUUGUUCCUGAAUUAGUCAACCAUCCUAGCAGGACCAUGUACCUAAUGACUACAAUAGCAAGUAUGGCUUUGAGUGCCAGAGGGGUAAGAGACCAAGAAAGAAAAGAGAGCCAUGUCUGUAGGAGUGUGCACCCUAAUGGCAGAGUGGCAAAACUAGCCUUUGUCCCCCAGAAAAGAAAAGAAGGCCAGAAGUUUCUCUCAAGGAUUAGGUGAAAAGCCACCUCAUGGGACCUCAGGGACUUCACCAAAUACUUGAGGACAUCUAAUUGGAUAGAAGCCAAAAAGUCCCGCUUGAUCCAUCAGGGAGAAAAAGAAGAGAAGAAAAGAGCUAAGUGCUUUUGUGAAGUGUUUUUACCAGGAGCAGACCUCUGCACCUGGCUCGAGUUUUUCUCUUUGUUAUUAUGCCUUUUAUUAAACCUUUUUGUUUCUAACACUGCA